GUUAAAGCACUGAUGGAAGACCAGAGCUCUACCUUUGAAGAUGAAAUAUAAUUUUGGAUGCUCAUUUAAAAUUGGGUUUAAUUGAUUCACUUGCAUAACAAAGGCAGUAGCUUCUGAAAAGUGCUCACCUAAAGGAAGUGAAACCGCUGAGACAAUGUGAAGAGCUGAAAACAAAGUGAUGCAGCUGACACACUCAUCUCAGGGGCAUGGUGAAUCUUGAUUUUCUUAGAUGGUUUCUGUCUAAUGCUGUCAUGCAAAGGCUCUUCAGAAACCCAGGCAUGAUUUUCAAAACAUCCAGCUCUGGCCACUGAUACUGAAAGACAUUGAGAGACUUCACCUGUCACAAAAUUCUCUAAAAUUUGUUCCUGUAUCAACUUUUACUGUUUGGGUGAGAUAAGAAGAGAAAUAAUCACUGUUGUAGCACUUGAUGGCCUUGCACAUGUUGGAAGUAUGCAACAAAGCAGAAGGCUAAAAGCUCAACUAUCCAAAGCUCUCCAUCCUAAUGCACUCCUCUAGAGCAUAGCAGGGUUUUGAAGAACGACAAAAAAAGGAAAACCUGGAAUUAAAGAAUCUGGCAGAAUCUUUGAAAAGCUUGUUUCUUGGUCUCUCAAUUUCAGCAACAUAAUGC
Agelaius phoeniceus (red-winged blackbird) is the source of this 628-nucleotide non-coding RNA. The record is from RefSeq and is a predicted model, not a curated record. NCBI's taxonomy places the organism in Eukaryota, Metazoa, Chordata, Aves, Passeriformes, Icteridae.